This 253-nucleotide ribosomal RNA is filed under the name uncultured bacterium. Its description in RNAcentral is "partial 16S ribosomal RNA". It matches the Rfam family "Bacterial small subunit ribosomal RNA", at positions 524 to 776 of the family's 1533-position model. The record is from RNAcentral.
UACAGAGGGUGCGAGCGUUAAUCGGAAUCACUGGGCGUAAAGAGUGCGUAGGUGGUGGUUUAAGUGUGAUGUGAAAUCCCUGGGCUUAACCUGGGAAUGGCAUCGCAAACUGGAUGACUAGAGAGCAGGAGAGGUGAGUGGAAUUUCCGGUGUAGCAGUGAAAUGCGUAGAGAUCGGAAGGAACACCUGAGGCGAAGGCGGCUCACUGGGCUGCUACUGACACUGAGGCACGAAAGCGUGGGGAGCAAACAGG